GUACAUUUGAAGUUUUGAUCCAAACAUGGCCGAGAUGAUUAUGGACGGUAAGAAUUACCAAGACUACAUAGAUUGGAGACAGAAUUAAAUGCUAUUAUGAGUGAGAUCAAGACAAUGCAGUGACAUAUUCUGUGACUAUAUUUUAAAAAAGGGAAUGCAUAGCAAUGAAAAGAAAUUAUGGAAUUCUUUCUGACACAACAUAUUUCGC
Molecule: unclassified non-coding RNA, 208 nt
Filed under: Hevea brasiliensis (rubber tree)
Lineage: Eukaryota; Viridiplantae; Streptophyta; Magnoliopsida; Malpighiales; Euphorbiaceae
Source: RNAcentral